AAGACUAUACUUUCAGGGAUCAUUUCUAUAGUUUCUAACUAGAGAAGUGCAUUCGAAAGUGAUCGGUAAAACUAUAUGAUGUGUACAGUUUGGU
Eublepharis macularius is the source of this 94-nucleotide small nucleolar RNA. RefSeq annotates it as small nucleolar RNA U3. The transcript has a single exon. Lineage: Eukaryota; Metazoa; Chordata; Lepidosauria; Squamata; Eublepharidae. The record is from RefSeq and is a predicted model, not a curated record.